RNAcentral lists this ribosomal RNA (497 nucleotides) under uncultured bacterium. RNAcentral's name for it is "partial 16S ribosomal RNA". It matches the Rfam family "Bacterial small subunit ribosomal RNA", at positions 28 to 507 of the family's 1533-position model. The record is from RNAcentral.
GAUGAACGCUGGCGGCGUGCCUAAUACAUGCAAGUCGAGCGAACGGACGAGAAGCUUGCUUCUCUGAUGUUAGCGGCGGACGGGUGAGUAACACGUGGAUAACCUACCUAUAAGACUGGGAUAACUUCGGGAAACCGUAGCUAAUACCGGAUAAUAUAUUGAACCGCAUGGUUCAAUAGUGAAAGACGGUCUUGCUGUCACUUAUAGAUGGAUCCGCGCUGCAUUAGCUAGUUGGUAAGGUAACGGCUUACCAAGGCAACGAUGCAUAGCCGACCUGAGAGGGUGAUCGGCCACACUGGAACUGAGACACGGUCCAGACUCCUACGGGAGGCAGCAGUAGGGAAUCUUCCGCAAUGGGCGAAAGCCUGACGGAGCAACGCCGCGUGAGUGAUGAAGGUCUUCGGAUCGUAAAACUCUGUUAUUAGGGAAGAACAAAUGUGUAAGUAACUAUGCACAUCUUGACGGUACCUAAUCAGAAAGCCACGGCUAACUACGUG